GAUGAACGCUAGCGGCAGGCCUAACACAUGCAAGUCGAGGGGUAGAAGUUGCUUGCAACUUUGAGACCGGCGCACGGGUGCGUAACGCGUAUGCAAUCUGCCUUGUACUGAGGGAUAGCCCAGAGAAAUUUGGAUUAAUACCUCAUAGCAUUAUGAUGCGGCAUCACAUUAUAAUUAAAGUUCAAACGGUACAAGAUGAGCAUGCGUCCCAUUAGUUAGUUGGUAAGGUAACGGCUUACCAAGAAGAUGGUGGGUAGGGGUCCUGAGAGGGAGAUCCCCCACACUGGUACUGAGACACGGACCAGACUCCUACGGGAGGCAGCAGUGAGGAAUAUUGGUCAAUGGGCGCAAGCCUGAACCAGCCAUGCCGCGUGCAGGAUGACGCAUCUAUGGUGUGUAAACUGCUUUUGUACAGGAAGGAACACUCCCUCGUGAGGGAGCUUGACGGUACUGUAAGAAUAAGGAUCGGCUAACUCCGUGCCAGCCGCCGCGGUAA
This 496-nucleotide ribosomal RNA is filed under the name uncultured bacterium. RNAcentral's name for it is "partial 16S ribosomal RNA". It matches the Rfam family "Bacterial small subunit ribosomal RNA", at positions 28 to 523 of the family's 1533-position model. The record is from RNAcentral.